This is a long non-coding RNA of Dermacentor albipictus, 2431 nucleotides long. RefSeq lists it as uncharacterized. NCBI's taxonomy places the organism in Eukaryota, Metazoa, Arthropoda, Arachnida, Ixodida, Ixodidae. The record is from RefSeq and is a predicted model, not a curated record.
UCGCAGACCGCGCAUGCGCCAAGCGUUUGGAAGAAGCAGAGAAGGGCCGCUCGCCCAUAUUCAGUUGGUAAAGAUGGACAUGAAGCAUAUCGCAUAAUCGUAUCAACGUGCUACCUUGCGUGCUCAAACGUAACUCUCCCACUUUCGCCGGCGGUGACAACGGCCAGGAGCGGCGCCUGCCCUACCGCCUUCCAGCUCAAUCCAAUUUCAGCGCGCGCUGAAGUGAUCAGAUCACUUAGUGGGCACUCAUAAAACACAACCCCAAGUGAGCCCAGGAAGGCUUUCGGCUGCCCUUCCCGUGAGCAAAAGGAUCCCUCUCCCCAUUGUGGGCAGAACUUCGCACUGAUCAAGAAUGCUGACAUUCAAUACAGCUGUGUCCGCAGCACAGAACAAUUAACGUAGCGAAACUUGACGUGCUGAGUUUCCCACUAAAUAGGAACCGUCCUACUCGAUACAGCCGUGUUUGCAGCAUUUAACGAACACCACGAGGAAUAUUGAUAGGCCUCAUCAAGCCUUGCAAAGGAUUCUAAAAGCAUCUUCGGCUGGGAAACAUGAGACUAUAGGCUCCUGCGAACAACGUUCGUUGGCCACUCGCGCCCCCCGACAUGGGCCUACGUCAUCUACGAAGUCGCCGUUACUCGGCAUGUGUCUCCGCUCGCCAUUGCCGGCUCGCUGGGUCCCUGCCUUUCGAGCGCCCCUAGGACCUGCUGGACGGCCCAGAGCUGUUCGUCUUAGUCGUAGCUCUUCGCGGCUGCCUCGAGCUACGUCCUUUUGACUUCUUCACCUGACGCCCUGUUCUGGUUUAGUCGGGCCUCUUUCCGGAACAGUGAUCGCAGCAUCUACGACCUUCGCACUUAUCUCCGCUGGAGGUCGUUCCUUUGUGUUGUUUGUCCUGAGCAGCUCGCGGAAUUUAGGGCUGAAGCCGCGCUUCGAAAGACGCGUCCCAAGCUGAUACUAAGAAUCGCUUCGCUUUCUCGAUUGCAAGGAGAGAUCGGAAGACGGAAAUACUGGUGAUUCCUCGUAUACAGAGGCCCUCGAAAACGCGCCAAAUUUAGUCGAUAAGAAGAUACGGCAAGGAAUCUCCGCGGGCACACUUUUGUUUCUUUUUCUUUCCUUCUCUCGGAUUGACUCUGAAACAUAAUGGUAGAGGACACACUGCGGGGUGAACCAAAUGGCUUCCCGGUAGUGACGUCAUAGCUGUUAUCGACACCUUUCCUUUUUGCACCGCGGUGGCGCUGCUAUUGGGGCGUCUGCACUUGCCGUUUUGACUAGGGCAGAAAGAAACAGCGAAAAUGUGUACGAUAUAGCGAGGCUUUCAUGUUAGACCACGCGUUCAGAAAAUGGCGGUUCCUCAGUGGUUUAUGCGGUUAGUGUCGCCUACGCGAGGAACAGGCGUUUCCGGUGAAAGAAAAAAUAAAGCGGAAGUGACGCCGUAUCUGGCAAGAAAACAAAUGACGCCAUUUUUUAUACUGGCACUUUGUUUUUUGUCCCGUUUAUUUUAAUUUUAAUUUAUUAUUAGGUUUUGCAGGCUUCGAAUGAGGGCGGUAUUUCUAAACUUCCUACAACUCGACGCGACUCCGCUGUGGAUUAAGCACUGGCAGUUUCAAACCGCUCUCGAUGGACGCUGUGAUGAUGGCUGCUUAGGUUUAAAGCCUUAUCAUAAGCGGACUAAGGUCUAGUGACAACUGCAUGAAAUUUAGGCACACUGCCGUCCCACCUUACUUUCGGCGCGAGAAGGAAUAUUCGGCGUGUUUGUGACCUUGUUAAAUUUGCCCUCGGUUAUUAUUUAUUUCGCAGCCGAAUAAGCGCACUCGGUGGUGUGCCAUGUGUUUCUUUCAUCGUUUUAUUCUUUGUAAUGCAUGAAGCGGUUUCUAAAGCCCAGGGUGACACUCCAUAGUGCCAGGGAUGAAACAAAAGUACUUCUAUUUAUGCCCGAACUUUUGACAAGAAAUCAGUUUUGUUGGCUGAAAACCACGAAACAAGAAUUAUGCAGUGUUACCUAAAGUUCGAACCAGCCAUGGCAAUGAAAAGAAAACAUACAUCAGCACUGCGUGCUUCAAACAUCUUGUGCCUCGCAAUCACAACGUGCCAUGAACAUUGCUGCCGCCCUGCCUCUACACUAGAGCUUCUAAGGAAUGAGUAUGCUCACCGUAACAUUCCGAAAACAACCAGAAUACAGAACAGCUUUCGCUCAAACUUCGAAAAGUCAUUCUUGCUUUGCGAAUCUCUCAUAGAUAUUUGGCACUUCUAAAUUUUCGACCAGCUGGCAGGUGGUAAAGAUCUAGAUUUAUGUUCGAGGUCGACGUAUAUUCCGGUUUAUAGAGUUUGUUUUACAGUUUUUCGAAAGGAAGUCAUGUGUGCUUAGAACAACCCAAACCACUUUAUAUUUCGCCCUUUUGCAGGAUUACAGGAAUGAUGCGUGUGUGAGAAC